This 333-nucleotide unclassified non-coding RNA is filed under the name Hevea brasiliensis (rubber tree). Lineage: Eukaryota; Viridiplantae; Streptophyta; Magnoliopsida; Malpighiales; Euphorbiaceae. The record is from RNAcentral.
CUAUUCUUUUGUUGAGAAAUUUUUGUUGAUUCCACAAGCCUUGAAAGUCCCACUUAUGUUGAAUUCGAAACACAUAGCUCCUUAUCCAGAAUGGAUGGAACAUGUCCCAUAUCCCCCUGAAUGAAUACCAAAUCCCUAACUUUUUUCCGGUUUAAUGCCGGAGAUGACGCAUUGGCUUAUAUUUGGUCUAUUUUCAACAAGAGUGUGGGGUAAGAGCUGCUGUCGAGGCUCUCUGUUGCAAACAAUUUUGUUACUCGCUUAUGGGAAGAACCCUUAUUUGGUAUGAUAACUUCGCCUGGGGAUCCAUACCGACAUGGGGAGCUAUGGUGGUAG